This 119-nucleotide non-coding RNA is filed under the name Arthrobacter sp. RNAcentral describes it as "TPP sequence". It matches the Rfam family "TPP riboswitch aptamer (THI element)". From Rfam's summary of the family: Vitamin B(1) in its active form thiamin pyrophosphate (TPP) is an essential coenzyme that is synthesised by coupling of pyrimidine and thiazole moieties in bacteria. Lineage: Bacteria; Bacillati; Actinomycetota; Actinomycetes; Micrococcales; Micrococcaceae. The record is from RNAcentral.
CAAACACGACAGGGGAGCGUCAUCCUAACCUUAGGAUCCGGCGCUGAGAGUGCGGUUCGCCGCAGACCCUCGAACCUGCUCCGGCUAGUACCGGCGAAGGGAGUCGAGUUCUCUUCGGC